UGAACCUUGAGUGAGUGGUAACAUACACAGAUCACUGAUCACAGCUCAUCAUCACAAAUAUAAUAAUAACGAAAAAGUUUGAAAUAUUGCAAGAAUUACCAAAAUGUGACACAGAGA
Vicugna pacos (alpaca) is the source of this 117-nucleotide non-coding RNA. NCBI's taxonomy places the organism in Eukaryota, Metazoa, Chordata, Mammalia, Artiodactyla, Camelidae. The record is from RefSeq and is a predicted model, not a curated record.